Molecule: ribosomal RNA, 117 nt
Filed under: uncultured bacterium
Lineage: Bacteria
Description: partial 16S ribosomal RNA
Rfam family: Bacterial small subunit ribosomal RNA
Source: RNAcentral
UACGUUCCCGGGCCUUGUACACACCGCCCGUCACGCCACGAAAGUCGGUAACGCCCGAAGCCGGUGGCCCAACCCUUGUGGAGGGAGCCGUCGAAGGCGGGAUCGGCGAUUGGGACG